This 66-nucleotide transfer RNA is filed under the name Ligyra sp. 2017. Its description in RNAcentral is "tRNA-Asp". The record is from RNAcentral. Lineage: Eukaryota; Metazoa; Arthropoda; Insecta; Diptera; Bombyliidae.
AAAAAAUUAGUUAAAUUAUAACAUUAGUAUGUCAAACUAAAAUUAUUGAACCUUCAAUAUUUUUUA